CCUACGGGUGGCAGCAGUGAGGAAUAUUGGUCAAUGGACGAGAGUCUGAACCAGCCAAGUAGCGUGAAGGAUGACUGCCCUAUGGGUUGUAAACUUCUUUUAUAAAGGAAUAAAACGAGGCACGUGUGCCUUUUUGCAUGUACUUUAUGAAUAAGGAUCGGCUAACUCCGUGCCAGCAGCCGAGUUAAUACGGAGGAUCCGGGCGUUAUCCGGCUUUAUUGGGUUUAAAGGGAGCGUAGAUGGGUUGUUAAGUCCGUUGUGAAAGUUUGGGGCUCAACCGUAAAAUUGCAAUUGAUACUGGCAGUCGUGAGUACAGUUGAGGUACGCGGAAUUCGUGGUGUAGCGGUGAAAUGCUUAGAUAUCACGAAGAACCCCGAUUGCGAAGGCAGCUUACUAAACUGUGACUGACAUUGAGGCUCGAAAGUGUGGGUAUCAAACAGGAUUAGAUACCCGAGUAGUC
RNAcentral lists this ribosomal RNA (460 nucleotides) under uncultured bacterium. Its description in RNAcentral is "partial 16S ribosomal RNA". It matches the Rfam family "Bacterial small subunit ribosomal RNA", at positions 338 to 795 of the family's 1533-position model. The record is from RNAcentral.